Molecule: long non-coding RNA, 256 nt
Filed under: Glycine max (soybean)
Lineage: Eukaryota; Viridiplantae; Streptophyta; Magnoliopsida; Fabales; Fabaceae
Description: long non-coding RNA (GMAX_LNC003259)
Source: RNAcentral
UUUUUACUUUUUGUUUUGGGUUGACUUCUCAGUUCCCUAAUUGCGUCAUCUUGCCAUCCCACCACCACCGCACCGUGCAAUCCCACCCUCGUCCACUACCACUGCGUGCAACCCCACCCCCAUCUACCACCACCACAUGUGACCUCACCCCCACCCUCCAACACUGUGAUGCGAAGGUCGCAGAGGCCAUUGAUCUGGCUGCAAAGGUCACAAAGCAGGCGACCCCUCCCCCAUCCUCCCUUUGCACAUCUCUCUG